Molecule: transfer RNA, 86 nt
Filed under: Litorihabitans aurantiacus
Lineage: Bacteria; Bacillati; Actinomycetota; Actinomycetes; Micrococcales; Beutenbergiaceae
Description: tRNA-Pro
Source: RNAcentral
GAUCCUCUCGGCCAGGGUCCGCGAUCCUCUCGGGGAGGGUCGGCAAUCCUCUCGGCGAGUGUCCGCGAUCCUCUCGGGGAGGGUCG